Molecule: ribosomal RNA, 257 nt
Filed under: uncultured archaeon
Lineage: Archaea
Description: partial 16S ribosomal RNA
Rfam family: Archaeal small subunit ribosomal RNA
Source: RNAcentral
AUUAGACUACCCCUGUACGUCCCAGACCGUAAACUAUGCGCGUUAGGUGUACUGGUGACCACGAGUCGACCGGGUGCCGAAGGGAAACCGUGAAACGUGCCGCCUGGGAAGUACGGUCGCAAGGCUGAAACUUAAAGGAAUUGGCGGGGAGCACCACAACGGGUGGAGCCUGCGGUUUAAUUGGACUCAACGCCGGAAAUCUCACCGGAUAGGACAGACAUAUGAUAGUCGGGCUGAAGACUCUACUUGAUGAUCUG